AGGUGCAUUUAUAGUCCAUGACAUAAAAAUCCUCUGCAUGCAACCACGAGGAGAGGGGGAAUUUACUAAGGAGUUUUGUCUAUAUAUUAUAUAAAAUCUACUGUUGGGAAGAGCAGAACCUAAUCCAAAUAAAAAUAAACAAGCUGUUAAAAGCCAGUUGAAGGUGGUCAACACAAACCAAAUGAAGAUGUUGCACAUUCCACAAACAAUAAAAAAGAAGAUCAAGUUUUGUGUCCAACACACUUGGAUGAGACGUGCCCGACCCCUGACUUUGUCUACCCUACAUUAAGUUGUGAUGGCACACUUCAUGACAGUAAACAUCGGUAUCAAGAUGAUGUGAUUGAUCUAUACCCUAGAAUAAGCUGUGACACUAUGAGACGGUGCCAUAAUGAACAGCCAUCUUCCAGACAACCGAAACAGGCAGAGUAUUGUUUU
Paramisgurnus dabryanus is the source of this 435-nucleotide long non-coding RNA. RefSeq lists it as uncharacterized. The record is from RefSeq and is a predicted model, not a curated record. Lineage: Eukaryota; Metazoa; Chordata; Actinopteri; Cypriniformes; Cobitidae.